GGGGCGGUAGCUCAGCCGGUUAGAGCAGGGGACUCAUAAUCCUUUGGCCGCGGGUUCGAGUCCCGCCCGCCCCACCA
This 77-nucleotide transfer RNA is filed under the name Actinocatenispora thailandica. RNAcentral's name for it is "tRNA-Met". It matches the Rfam family "tRNA". Rfam says of the family: Transfer RNA (tRNA) molecules are approximately 80 nucleotides in length. Lineage: Bacteria; Bacillati; Actinomycetota; Actinomycetes; Micromonosporales; Micromonosporaceae. RNAcentral also lists the same sequence under 2 other names. The record is from RNAcentral.